GAUGAACGCUGGCGGCGUGCCUAAUACAUGCAAGUCGAGCGAACGGACGAGAAGCUUGCUUCUCUGAUGUUAGCGGCGGACGGGUGAGUAACACGUGGAUAACCUACCUAUAAGACUGGGAUAACUUCGGGAAACCGGAGCUAAUACCGGAUAAUAUUUUGAACCGCAUGGUUCAAAAGUGAAAGACGGUCUUGCUGUCACUUAUAGCUGGAUCCGCGCUUCAUUAGCUAGUUGGUAAGGUAACGGCUUACCAAGGCAACGAUGCAUAGCCGACCUGAGAGGGUGAUCGGCCACACUGGAACUGAGACACGGUCCAGACGCCUACGGGAGGCAGCAGUAGGGAAUCUUCCGCAAGGGGCGAAAGCCUGACGGAGCAAGGCCGCGUGAGUGAUGAAGGUCUUGGGAUCGUAAAACUCGGUUAUUAGGGAAGAACAGAUGUGGAAGUAACUGUGCACAUCUUGACGGUACCUAAUCAGAAAGCCACGGCUAACUACGUG
This 497-nucleotide ribosomal RNA is filed under the name uncultured bacterium. RNAcentral describes it as "partial 16S ribosomal RNA". It matches the Rfam family "Bacterial small subunit ribosomal RNA", at positions 28 to 507 of the family's 1533-position model. The record is from RNAcentral.